UUAGUGAACGACAGUGUAACUUUGCCUACUUUAGUUUAAUUGUUAAAUGUAAUCUAAUUAGUGGUAGAAACGUAGUUUGUGUGUACAAUGUUACAUCGUGUAUACAAUGUUACAUCGUGUAUAAUUGUUGCUGUUAGUAUGUUAGGGGGCUAACGUUAACUUCAAAUAUUACGUUUAACGUACCAUUAAAUAUUAACGUUUGUUAACGUGUUAACGUUAGUCCAUUGAAUAAUAAAAAACGAAUGUUGUUUGACUGGAAUUAUAUAAGAUACACAUGCAACACUAACCAUAUAUUUCUGUGAGUUUAGUCUUUCAGGAGAUUGUCUGAUAUCCAUUAACUUAUUGAUUCUUCUUUUAAGAUCUAUGUUCAGGUUUACAUACUGUAUAAUUCUGUUCCAUGGUGGGGGGGCACUAUUCUGUGUUCCAGUUGAAGUCCUAAGCAUGUGAAUGCAAAACACUUGGUUGUCUUAUUUAUUAUUAUUUUUUUAAUCUAUACAAAAUAUAAUGGAACUGUUCAUCAUUCCUUAUAACUUUUAGGCCUGGUUUCACAGACAGGGCUUGGAUUAAGCCGUAGUUAAAAUAGAACAUCGAAGUAGCUUUUAUAAGCAUGCCUUAGAAAAAAAAAAAACAUUACUGAUGUGCAUCUUGAGACAAAACCAUGGCACUGACAUAUUUUUGUUUUGUUUAUGAUGCCCAAUGGUUGCCAGAUGCUGUCCUGUCAGACAUUAUUCUUCAUGUGGUCCUGGAGGAGGGUGAUGCUGCAUUAUUAAAUCUGUCUCUGGUUUUGGCUUGACAGUGUAACAAAAUGGAGAGCCAGGAAUUCUUCAAAAUGUACACACUGCAGCCCUGCGAUGAGGUUUACAAGAACUGCUUACCAGGUCACUGUAGCCACCAGAUCCAGUCUGUAUCCAAGUCAG
Cyprinus carpio (common carp) is the source of this 917-nucleotide long non-coding RNA. RefSeq lists it as uncharacterized. The record is from RefSeq and is a predicted model, not a curated record. The transcript is spliced from 3 exons. NCBI's taxonomy places the organism in Eukaryota, Metazoa, Chordata, Actinopteri, Cypriniformes, Cyprinidae.